CUAGAACACUUGGGAUCGCGUUCAUACUUUCCUACUCGUCCAUAGUUCGGACGGCGCCAGAAAUAUUAAAAAAUGGAGUCAUUGAGAUCGAUCGCCGUCCGGAUUGGGAUUCAUGAAAUCCUGAAAAUUACAGAAACUGUCAGCCCCGACCAACCAUAGCAGAUGAAGGCCACAGUGACUGGAGAUUGAAAAACGUGCUAUUUGCCGUACAGACCGACGAUACGGUGCUAGAGACUUGGGUAGUUGCUGCAGUGUUGGAAACUUACAUAUCGAUGUCAUAAUGAAAAAAAUUACAUACCUACAACCAUACAUUGAGCAUCUAAUCAUUGCGACCGCAGUUUGUGGUUUUUCGUCGUCAAUGUACUUUCAUAAUGGCAUGUUAACUAAUUAUAAUUUCAUGCUAGAUGACAGUUCAUGGCAAUGAAAACUUCAUCAGAUUAAGAUUAAACCUAUUUAGAUAUUUUUACUAUUUUAAGUUUGUUUUUUAUUGCAUUUUAUGGUUAAUAUAUUUGUAGAAUGAUAUAAUUUUAAACUCAUAUUUCAUAUUUUAGGUGCUAAGCCAAACGAUAACUAUAUUGAUUUUAUAAUAAUGUAUGUUUUUUAAGCAUAGGAAUUUAUAAUGUAGAGAAUUAUAUAUGUUUCUUCAUAUCUUCAUAAUCUAUCACAUUGCAUUUAAUAUAUUAUAAUGUUUUAUGCAUAUAUAUUUUUACAACCAAAUCUGUUACAACA
This is a long non-coding RNA of Aphis gossypii (cotton aphid), 729 nucleotides long. RefSeq lists it as uncharacterized. Lineage: Eukaryota; Metazoa; Arthropoda; Insecta; Hemiptera; Aphididae. The record is from RefSeq and is a predicted model, not a curated record. The transcript is spliced from 3 exons.